GCAAGGAAUCUUGCGCAAUGGGCGAAAGCCUGACGCAGCGACGCCGCGUGGGGGAUGAAGGCCUUCGGGUUGUAAACCCCUUUUCCCGGGGAAGAAUAAUGACGGUACCCGGGGAAUAAGUCACGGCUAACUACGUGCCAGCAGCCGCGGUAAUACGUAGGUGGCUAACGUUAUCCGGAUUUACUGGGCGUAAAGAAGGCGCGGGCGGCACCUUAAGUCGGGUGUGAAAUCUCCGGACUCAAUCCGGAUAGGUCAUCCGAUACUGAGGAGCUCGAGGGCAGCAGAGGGAGAUGGAAUUCCCGGUGUAGUGGUGAUAUGCGUAGAUAUCGGGAGGAACACCAGUGGCGAAGGCGGUCUCCUAGGCUGUUCCUGACGCUGAGGCCUGAAAGCGUGGGGAGCAAACCGGAUUAGAUACCCGAGUAGUCC
This 426-nucleotide ribosomal RNA is filed under the name uncultured bacterium. RNAcentral's name for it is "bacterial SSU rRNA". It matches the Rfam family "Bacterial small subunit ribosomal RNA", at positions 354 to 796 of the family's 1533-position model. The record is from RNAcentral.